GACGAACGCUGGCGGCGUGCUUAACACAUGCAAGUCGAACGGUGAAGCGCUUGCCUUUUUGGUGGGUGUGGAUGAGUGGCGAACGGGUGAGUAACACGUGAGUAACCUGCCCUCUUCUUCUGGAUAACCUCAUGAAAGUGGGGCUAAUACGGGGUAUUCCGGGUCUGUCGCAUGGCGGGUUUGGGAAAGAUUGCGCCUUUGGGUGUUUUCGGUGGGGGAUGGGCUCGCGGCCUAUCAGCUUGUUGGUGGGGUGAUGGCCUACCAAGGCGGUGACGGGUAGCCGGCCUGAGAGGGUGGACGGCCACACUGGGACUGAGACACGGCCCAGACUCCUGCGGGAGGCAGCAGUGGGGAAUAUUGCACAAUGGGCGCAAGCCUGAUGCAGCGACGCCGCGUGAGGGAUGGAGGCCUUCGGGUUGUGAACCUCUUUCGCCAGUGAAGCAGGCCUGCUCCUGUGUGGGUGGGUUGACGGUAGCUGGAGAAGAAGCGCCGGCUAACUACGUG
RNAcentral lists this ribosomal RNA (504 nucleotides) under uncultured bacterium. RNAcentral describes it as "partial 16S ribosomal RNA". It matches the Rfam family "Bacterial small subunit ribosomal RNA", at positions 28 to 507 of the family's 1533-position model. The record is from RNAcentral.